CCUACGGGAGGCAGCAGUGGGGAAUAUUGGACAAUGGGCGAAAGCCUGAUCCAGCCAUGCCGCGUGUGUGAAGAAGGCCUUCGGGUUGUAAAGCACUUUCAGUGGGGAAGAAAGCCUUGGGGCUAAUACCCUCGAGGAAGGACAUCACCCACAGAAGAAGCACCGGCUAACUCCGUGCCAGCAGCCGCGGUAAUACGGAGGGUGCGAGCGUUAAUCGGAAUUACUGGGCGUAAAGCGCGCGUAGGCGGUCUGAUAAGCCGGUUGUGAAAGCCCCGGGCUCAACCUGGGAACGGCAUCCGGAACUGUCAGGCUAGAGUGCAGGAGAGGAAGGUAGAAUUCCCGGUGUAGCGGUGAAAUGCGUAGAGAUCGGGAGGAAUACCAGUGGCGAAGGCGGCCUUCUGGACUGACACUGACGCUGAGGUGCGAAAGCGUGGGUAGUAAACAGGAUUAGAUACCCGAGUAGUC
This 465-nucleotide ribosomal RNA is filed under the name Vreelandella stevensii. Its description in RNAcentral is "partial 16S ribosomal RNA". It matches the Rfam family "Bacterial small subunit ribosomal RNA", at positions 338 to 795 of the family's 1533-position model. The record is from RNAcentral. Lineage: Bacteria; Pseudomonadati; Pseudomonadota; Gammaproteobacteria; Oceanospirillales; Halomonadaceae.